This 73-nucleotide transfer RNA is filed under the name Trichonephila clavata. It matches the Rfam family "tRNA". From Rfam's summary of the family: Transfer RNA (tRNA) molecules are approximately 80 nucleotides in length. Lineage: Eukaryota; Metazoa; Arthropoda; Arachnida; Araneae; Nephilidae. The record is from Rfam by way of RNAcentral.
GUCCCUGUAGCGCAAUGGAUAGCGCGUUGGGCUUUUAAUCCUAAGGUCGUGGGUUCGAAUCCUACCUGGGAUG